AUAUCAAUAAGCGGAGGAAAAGAAACCAACAGGGAUUGCCCUAGUAACGGCGAGUGAAGCGGCAACAGCUCAAAUUUGAAAUCUGGCCCCUUCGGGGUCCGAGUUGUAAUUUGCAGAGGAAGCUUCGGCGUUGGCCCCGGGUUAAGUCCCCUGGGACGGGGCGCCCUAGAGGGUGAGAGCCCCGUACUCACCCGGGUGCACCUCGCCGUGCGAAGCUCCUUCGACGAGUCGAGUUGUUUGGGAAUGCAGCUCUAAGCGGGAGGUAUAUUUCUUCUAAAGCUAAAUACCGGCCAGAGACCGAUAGCGCACAAGUAGAGUGAUCGAAAGAUGAAAAGCACUUUGGAAAGAGAGUUAAAAAGCACGUGAAAUUGUUGAAAGGGAAGCUCUUGCCGCCAGACUUGCCGCGGUUGCUCAGCCGCCCCCCCGGGGCGGUGUACUCCUCCGUCGGCAGGCCAGCGUCGGUUCGGGCGGCCGGAUAAAGGCCUCGGGAAUGUAGCACCUCUCGGGGUGUGUUAUAGCCCGUGGCGUAAUGCGGCCAGCCCGGUCCGAGGCACGCGUUCGCGAGGACGCUGGCGUAAUGGUCGCAAGCGACCCGUCUUGAAACACGGACCAAGGAGUCUGACAUCUGUGCGAGUGUUUGGGUCUCACACCCAUGCGCGUAAUGAAAGUGAACGGAGGUGGGAACCCCCCCGAGGGGCGCACCAUCGACCGAUCCUGAUGUCUUCGGAUGGAUUUGAGUAAGAGCAUAGCUGUUGGGACCCGAAAGAUGGUGAACUAUUCCCGGAUAGGGUGAAGCCAGAGGAAACUCUGGUGGAGGCUCGCAGCGGUUCUGACGUGCAAAUCGAUCGUCAAAUCUAGGAAUAGGGGCGAAAGACUAAUCGAACCAU
This 887-nucleotide ribosomal RNA is filed under the name Roccella tuberculata. RNAcentral's name for it is "LSU rRNA". It matches the Rfam family "Eukaryotic large subunit ribosomal RNA", at positions 40 to 943 of the family's 3401-position model. The record is from RNAcentral. Lineage: Eukaryota; Fungi; Ascomycota; Arthoniomycetes; Arthoniales; Roccellaceae.